CCUACGGGUGGCAGCAGUGAGGAAUAUUGGUCAAUGGGCUUAAGCCUGAACCAGCCAAGUCGCGUGAGGGAAGACUGCCCUAUGGGUUGUAAACCUCUUUGGUCAGGGAGAAAUUGGCGCUGCGUGUAGCGUUAUCGGGAGUACCUGAAGAAAAAGCAUCGGCUACCUCCGUGCCAGCAGCCGAGGUAAUACGGGGGAUGCGAGCGUGAUCAGGGUUUAUGGGGUUUAAAGGGAGCGUAGGCGGAAUGCCAAGUCAGCGGUAAAAGCGCGGGGCUCAACCUCGUUCUGCCGUUGAAACUGGCGGUAUUGAGUGCGCGAGAAGUAUGCGGAAUGCGUGGUGGAGCGGUGAAAUGCAUAGAUAUUACGCAGAACUCCGAUUGCGAAGGCAGCAUACCGGAGCCCAACUGACGCUGAAGCACGAAAGCGUGGGUAUCGAACAGGAUUAGAUACCCGUGUAGUC
RNAcentral lists this ribosomal RNA (460 nucleotides) under uncultured bacterium. Its description in RNAcentral is "partial 16S ribosomal RNA". It matches the Rfam family "Bacterial small subunit ribosomal RNA", at positions 338 to 795 of the family's 1533-position model. The record is from RNAcentral.